RNAcentral lists this transfer RNA (76 nucleotides) under marine sediment metagenome. RNAcentral's name for it is "tRNA-Trp". It matches the Rfam family "tRNA". Rfam says of the family: Transfer RNA (tRNA) molecules are approximately 80 nucleotides in length. Their secondary structure includes four short double-helical elements and three loops (D, anti-codon, and T loops). Further hydrogen bonds mediate the characteristic L-shaped molecular structure. tRNAs have two regions of fundamental functional importance: the anti-codon, which is responsible for specific mRNA codon recognition, and the 3' end, to which the tRNAs corresponding amino acid is attached (by aminoacyl-tRNA synthetases). tRNAs cope with the degeneracy of the genetic code in two manners: having more than one tRNA (with a specific anti-codon) for a particular amino acid; and 'wobble' base-pairing, i.e. permitting non-standard base-pairing at the 3rd anti-codon position. The record is from RNAcentral.
GCAGAGGUAGCUCAACGGUAGAGCGGCGGCGCCAACGGUGUGCCGCGAGUCGGGGGUUCAAUUCCCAUCUUCCGCA